GGCUCAGUGGUCUAAUGGUAUGACACUCACUAUGUAGUUUCCUGCUUAUUUCAGGCAGAGGGUGGGUGAUCUGGGUUCAAUUCCCAGCUGAGCCA
RNAcentral lists this transfer RNA (95 nucleotides) under Terfezia boudieri ATCC MYA-4762. Its description in RNAcentral is "tRNA-Thr". It matches the Rfam family "tRNA". From Rfam's summary of the family: Transfer RNA (tRNA) molecules are approximately 80 nucleotides in length. Their secondary structure includes four short double-helical elements and three loops (D, anti-codon, and T loops). Further hydrogen bonds mediate the characteristic L-shaped molecular structure. tRNAs have two regions of fundamental functional importance: the anti-codon, which is responsible for specific mRNA codon recognition, and the 3' end, to which the tRNAs corresponding amino acid is attached (by aminoacyl-tRNA synthetases). tRNAs cope with the degeneracy of the genetic code in two manners: having more than one tRNA (with a specific anti-codon) for a particular amino acid; and 'wobble' base-pairing, i.e. permitting non-standard base-pairing at the 3rd anti-codon position. The record is from RNAcentral. Lineage: Eukaryota; Fungi; Ascomycota; Pezizomycetes; Pezizales; Pezizaceae.